AGCGAACGCUGGCGGCAUGCUUAACACAUGCAAGUCGCGCGGGUGGUUUCGGCCAUCAGCGGCGGACGGGUGAGUAUCGCGUAGGAAUGUAUCCCGAGGUGGGGGACAACCCUGGGAAACUGGGGCUAAUACCGCAUGGGGCCUGUGGGUCAAAGCCUUAGGGCGCCUUGGGAGCAGCCUGCGUCCGAUUAGGUAGGUGGUGGGGUAAAGGCCUACCAAGCCUGCGAUCGGUAGCUGGUCUGAGAGGACGAUCAGCCACACUGGGACUGAGACACGGCCCAGAAUCCUACGGGAGGCAGCAGUGGGGAAUAUUGGACAAUGGGCGCAAGCCUGAUCCAGCAAUGCCGCGUGGGUGAAGAAGGUCGUCGGAUUGUAAAGCCCUUUCGGCGGGGACGAUGAUGACGGUACCCGCAGAAGAAGCCCCGGCUAACUUCGUG
Molecule: ribosomal RNA, 437 nt
Filed under: uncultured bacterium
Lineage: Bacteria
Description: partial 16S ribosomal RNA
Rfam family: Bacterial small subunit ribosomal RNA
Source: RNAcentral